This 375-nucleotide ribosomal RNA is filed under the name uncultured bacterium. RNAcentral describes it as "bacterial SSU rRNA". It matches the Rfam family "Bacterial small subunit ribosomal RNA", at positions 521 to 896 of the family's 1533-position model. The record is from RNAcentral.
UAAGACGAACCGAGCGAACGUUAUUCGGAAUCACUGGGCUUAAAGGGCGCGUAGGCGGGCCUGAUAGUCAGGGGUGAAAGCCCCCAGCUCAACUGGGGAAGUGCCUUUGAUACUUCAGGUCUCGAGGGAGGUAGGGGCGUGCGGAACUUCCGGUGGAGCGGUGAAAUGCGUAGAUAUCGGAAGGAACGUCGGUGGCGAAAGCGGCGCGCUGGACCUCUUCUGACGCUGAGGCGCGAAAGCCAGGGGAGCAAACGGGAUUAGAUACCCCGGUAGUCCUGGCCCUAAACGUUGGGUACUAGGUUGUGGGCUUACGUGGGCUCACAGCCGGAGCAAAAGUAUUAAGUACCCCGCCUGGGGAGUAUGGUCGCAAGGCUG